This 465-nucleotide ribosomal RNA is filed under the name uncultured bacterium. RNAcentral describes it as "partial 16S ribosomal RNA". It matches the Rfam family "Bacterial small subunit ribosomal RNA", at positions 338 to 795 of the family's 1533-position model. The record is from RNAcentral.
CCUACGGGCGGCAGCAGUGGGGAAUAUUGCGCAAUGGGCGAAAGCCUGACGCAGCGACGCCGCGUGAGGGAUGAAGGUCUUCGGAUCGUAAACCUCUGUCAGCAGGGAGGAACGGUCACUGUGCUAAUCAGCAGUGAAUUGACGGUACCUGCAAAGGAAGCACCGGCUAACUCCGUGCCAGCAGCCGCGGUAAUACGGAGGGUGCGAGCGUUAAUCGGAAUUACUGGGCGUAAAGCGCUCGUAGGCGGUAUGUCAAGUCAAGGGUGAAAUCCCCGCGCUCAACGUGGGAACUGCCUUUGAAACUGGCAAACUGGAGUGUGUGGGAGGAUAGUGGAAUUCCAGGUGUAGGAGUGAAAUGCGUAGAUAUCUGGAGGAACAUCAGUGGCGAAGGCGACUAUCUGGCACAUAACUGACGCUGAGGAGCGAAGGCGUGGGUAGCAAACAGGAUUAGAUACCCGAGUAGUC